Non-coding RNA from Papio anubis (olive baboon), 46 nucleotides. The record is from Rfam. NCBI's taxonomy places the organism in Eukaryota, Metazoa, Chordata, Mammalia, Primates, Cercopithecidae.
UAACAGGUUCUUCUUAGAACUACAGUACAUUUAGAGGUAAUAAGCA